GAAAAGCAUCCAUGAGAAUUUUGCCAUCUAAUUAUUAAAUUUCCGUAAUGUUCAUUUGCAAAUUCUAAAAAUCCUUCCAUACCGCAUAAAAAAACUGAAAAAAAAAAAAAACUCAAAUACAUAGUAAUGAUAAUUAUAAUUUUAAUAUAUAAAAAUAGUUUUACUUUGUUCCAUUAUUAAGUCCUGCGACAUUGAGGGAAAUCCAUUAAACUCUAAUUCAAUCAAAUCGUUGAAAAUAUCUCGACAAUAAUUUUCUGUUAGAUCCGUUAAAUUAGCUCUGUAAUUUUCUGUACACUGUAACUUUAAAUAUAUCUAUGAUUAAUUA
This is a long non-coding RNA of Cotesia glomerata, 325 nucleotides long. RefSeq lists it as uncharacterized. The record is from RefSeq and is a predicted model, not a curated record. The transcript has 2 exons. NCBI's taxonomy places the organism in Eukaryota, Metazoa, Arthropoda, Insecta, Hymenoptera, Braconidae.